GACGAACGCUGGCGGCGUGCUUAACACAUGCAAGUCGAACGGAAAGGCCCUGCUUUUGUGGGGUGCUCGAGUGGCGAACGGGUGAGUAACACGUGAGUAACCUGCCCUUGACUUUGGUAUAACUUCAGGAAACUGGGGCUAAUACCGGAUAGGAGCUCCUGCUGCAUGGUGGGGGUUGGAAAGUUUCGGCGGUUGGGGAUGGACUCGCGGCUUAUCAGCUUGUUGGUGGGGUAGUGGCUUACCAAGGCUUUGACGGGUAGCCGGCCUGAGAGGGUGACCGGCCACAUUGGGACUGAGAUACGGCCCAGACUACUACGGGAGGCAGCAGUGGGGAAUAUUGCACAAUGGGCGGAAGCCUGAUGCAGCAACGCCGCGUGCGGGAUGACGGCCUGCGGGUUGUAAACCGCUUUCGCCUGUGACGAAGCGUGAGUGACGGUAAUGGGUAAAGAAGCACCGGCUAACUACGUG
Molecule: ribosomal RNA, 468 nt
Filed under: uncultured bacterium
Lineage: Bacteria
Description: partial 16S ribosomal RNA
Rfam family: Bacterial small subunit ribosomal RNA
Source: RNAcentral